This 174-nucleotide ribosomal RNA is filed under the name uncultured bacterium. RNAcentral describes it as "partial 16S ribosomal RNA". It matches the Rfam family "Bacterial small subunit ribosomal RNA", at positions 331 to 503 of the family's 1533-position model. The record is from RNAcentral.
UCUUCCGCUUACGGGAGGCAGCAGUGGGGAAUCUUGCACAAUGGGCGAAAGCCUGAUCCAGCAAUGCCGCGUGAGUGAAGAAGGCCUUCGGGUGGUAAAGCACUGUUGUCAGGAGGAAAGUAGUCCGGAUUAACCGGUCGUACUUGACGGUACUUCAGAAAAGCAUGCUACACG